CUACGGGGGGCAGCAGUGGGGAAUAUUGCACAAUGGGCGCAAGCCUGAUGCAGCCAUGCCGCGUGUGUGAAGAAGGCCUUCGGGUUGUAAAGCACUUUCAGUCGUGAGGAAGGUGGUGUUGUUAAUAGCAGCAUCAUUUGACGUUAGCGACAGAAGAAGCACCGGCUAACUCCGUGCCAGCAGCCGCGGUAAUACGGAGGGUGCGAGCGUUAAUCGGAAUUACUGGGCGUAAAGCGCAUGCAGGUGGUUUGUUAAGUCAGAUGUGAAAGCCCGGGGCUCAACCUCGGAAUAGCAUUUGAAACUGGCAAGCUAGAGUACUGUAGAGGGGGGUAGAAUUUCAGGUGUAGCGGUGAAAUGCGUAGAGAUCUGAAGGAAUACCGGUGGCGAAGGCGGCCCCCUGGACAGAUACUGACACUCAGAUGCGAAAGCGUGGGGAGCAAACAGGAUUAGAUACCCUCGUAGUC
RNAcentral lists this ribosomal RNA (464 nucleotides) under uncultured bacterium. RNAcentral's name for it is "partial 16S ribosomal RNA". It matches the Rfam family "Bacterial small subunit ribosomal RNA", at positions 339 to 795 of the family's 1533-position model. The record is from RNAcentral.